GUAGAGUGUCUUCUGAUUGAAAACUGUUAGAAGCAAACUUAUCAAUUUCAUCCUCAUGCUAAACCCUUAAAUCAAUAUCUUAUCAAUGGUGCAGCCAAUAUAAACAAGAAUGCAAGAACAUGUAGAUUCAUGUGUGAUUCAAGGAUUUACAUUUAAGAAACCACCAGACAAAACACAUUUGCAGGCCCUCAUACCCAUGUUGUCAGGACUGAACUGGUCAGAGCAAGUUUAACUGGGAAGCAGACCAAUAGAUGGUCCUGUAUGGUAAUCAACCCUUUAUAUCUAAGGAGUUGGUAUUAACCUGUUGAACCUGUCAACAUAUUCCCAGUUUAAUUGGUUAACAGGGUAAACGAUGGUGCGAGGGCAGGCUUAAGAAAAAACCCAUACGUGUUGUGGAAGAGUUACACUACAGAUUCCAUUUGGCCUAGCACUAAAUUCUG
This 440-nucleotide unclassified non-coding RNA is filed under the name Hevea brasiliensis (rubber tree). The record is from RNAcentral. Lineage: Eukaryota; Viridiplantae; Streptophyta; Magnoliopsida; Malpighiales; Euphorbiaceae.